RNAcentral lists this transfer RNA (59 nucleotides) under Geotrichum candidum. It matches the Rfam family "tRNA", at positions 8 to 63 of the family's 71-position model. Rfam says of the family: Transfer RNA (tRNA) molecules are approximately 80 nucleotides in length. Their secondary structure includes four short double-helical elements and three loops (D, anti-codon, and T loops). Lineage: Eukaryota; Fungi; Ascomycota; Dipodascomycetes; Dipodascales; Dipodascaceae. The record is from Rfam by way of RNAcentral.
UGGCCAAGUUGGUUAAGGCGUGCGACUGUUAAUCGCAAGAUCGUGAGUUCAACCCUCAC